CCUACGGGAGGCAGCAGUAAGGGAUAUUGGUCAAUGGGGGAAACCCUGAACCAGCCACGCCGCGUGAGGGAAGACGGUUCUCGGAUUGUAAACCUCCUUUCUCUGUGAAGCAGAUGACGGCAGCAGAGGAGGAAGCUCCGGAUAACUACGUGCCAGCAGCCGCGGUAAUACGUAGGGAGCGACCGUUGUACGGAUUUACUGGGUGUAAAGGGUGCGUAGGUGGGUUGGCAAGUCAGUAGUGAAAGUCAUGGGCUUAACCCAUGAACUGCUGUUGAAACUGGCGGGCUUGAGUGAAGUAGAGGUAGGCGGAAUUCCCGGUGUAGCGGUGAAAUGCGUAGAGAUCGGGAGGAACACCGGUGGCGAAGGCGGCCUACUGGGCUUUAACUGACGCUGAGGCACGAAAGCGUGGGUAGCAAACAGGAUUAGAUACCCGGGUAGUC
RNAcentral lists this ribosomal RNA (440 nucleotides) under uncultured bacterium. Its description in RNAcentral is "partial 16S ribosomal RNA". It matches the Rfam family "Bacterial small subunit ribosomal RNA", at positions 338 to 795 of the family's 1533-position model. The record is from RNAcentral.